This is a long non-coding RNA of Athalia rosae (coleseed sawfly), 3497 nucleotides long. RefSeq lists it as uncharacterized. The transcript is spliced from 2 exons. The record is from RefSeq and is a predicted model, not a curated record. Lineage: Eukaryota; Metazoa; Arthropoda; Insecta; Hymenoptera; Athaliidae.
UGACUUCUUCUUUUUCGGAGAAAGAAAUUCGACCGGAUACCGCGGGCAUAAGGGCAAUAAGGGUCAUUUGGUAUGUAUGACGCUCAAGGUAAAGAUACCCUUCCGAAUAUACGCGUCACCUCUGCCAGAAACCUUCAUAAUCCAGCUGUGGGGCUAUGUGUAUUCGUUUUCGGUCGAAAUCCCUUCACAGCUGCGAGGCAUAUUCCGUGGGGUGCUCUGCGUCUGGUCUGUCUAGCCCCGAAGGUUUACCCGCCUAGAUACUAUGGAUAUAUCCUGCAGUGAUCAGCCAGUGAUCCUUUACGCGGAAAUUAUUCUAUCCUCUUAGCUGUGGCAAGACUCCCUUGCGGUAUAUAUUCUAUCCCAUUGUGAUUUCACGAACCCUCGCGCUGACCCUGUCGAAGGAGACCCCAAUUCCACGGGAUGGUCAAUAAGUGCGUUGAUAUUUACCACUCGGAUUUGGAGAUUCGUCUCAAAGGAAGAAGAAAAGGAUACUUUCGAGAUUUCUUAAGACAACUUGUAGCUACGAGAUCUUCUGUGCGCAGGACUCGACGAUCUCUGCGCGGUCUUUUCAGGGUUGAAUCACAUGAUGCACGUAAUUUUGGAUCUACGAAAGUUCGAAGGGCACGCGACUUUCGACCUUUCACCGCAUCUUCGCACCGCUGUCCGCGUUAAUUUUAACUUUCGGCAGAUGAAUGGAAGUGGGUACGACGUGCAUCGGUGUACAUAGUAUGUAUAGUAAACGGUCGCUUUCGAGCUGCAGGUUUCAAGUGUGAUUAAAAUCGAUUACUUCGUAUCAACGUCACGGACGCUUUCCGAAUCACCUUGUUCACUCGGUAGUGCGGAAAACAAAUGGAAAAAAAUAUCCCAAAAGUCGAGUGUUCUUUACACACAUCUUAUUCGUCCCACGAAUCUUUUUACAACACAAAAAAUCAAUUUCAUAAAUAUAUUAUCGUAGGCGAAAAAAAAUUUUUCAUUUUUCGUCGGUUUUUAGUUUUUCCCUCCUGUUUUUUUUCUCCUAAUUGCGAGUUUCUAACGUCAGUAGUUCCGCUGAAAGCUUCACCGAGGAACUGCACAGUGGUGGUUACAGCACGUGAAUUUUUAAGUUCUCCACGUAACAAAAUCGGACACUUUGCUUCCCUUGAAAUUGAACGCUCCGGGCUGCGGUAGGUGGACACUAUUAAAGAGAAAAUGUAGUGGGCGAUGUGUAUAGUGUAACCAACACGUACGUUGUGUCUCUCUACGUCGGGAAACGAGUAGACGAUAAAAAAAAGUUAUAUAAAAUUUUUUUUAAAAAUGGAGGGUAACGCGGUCAUGUAUUAAAAAAAAAAAAAAAAAAAAAAAAACACCCUCUUCAUGUUCACGUUAUCUGUAUGAUUGCUCCGUCCCCAUACUCAAUUUACGACGUACAAUGUACAGUUACUACGUAUAUACACGUAAUUUUUUUCGUAACUCGUAUAGGUGUGCACGUAUAUAUUUAUGUAUAUAACCGCGUAAGUACGCGUGAUCCUCGAAAGGGUUGAAUGUAAUUAAUUCGAAGGAUUAUCAGCCUAAUUUCAGGUUUCCGCGAUACGAAAUAUCGUUUCAGACCUUAUCGGUGCAAAUCCUUCGACAAAUAUUCGUGCAUGUGGAAUAAUGGGAUCGAUCACUCGCUUUCGCGGACAAUGUAAUUAUAUGUAAGUCCCCUCUUGAAUAAUUAUCGAAUAGUUACGAGUACGUGUUGUCAAAUUAAUUUAAAACGCAGUUACUCUACAUAGGUGAAAUAUCGCCAUCGCUUAUUCAAAUGAUCAAUUAGAGAUUGCGGAUUUAAUUAUUCAAUCAAUUUUCCCGAUCGAAGUCCUCGUGAAAAUAUUGUCGAGCGAUUCGUUAUCCUUCUUUCGAUUUUUCGCACGUUUUGUCAGAUUUUGAUUUUGAUUUUUGAUGUUUUUUUGCUGAUUUUGCGUGUAUACUUACGAGUCCCUUCGCUUUCGUACGGAGGGAUACCUAUACCGCGGAGCGGCAGAGGAGUAGCUUUUCAAACCCGAAGAAAAAAGAUGGAUUUUUCUUAUAUUCUUUUUAAUAAAAUUCAAGUAGAUUGUACGGCGCCGCGAUCCCUUCGCUUUGUCAAAUAAAUUCUUCUUCUCAAAUCCACCCGACGUUUGACUUUAAAAUUCUUGUGUGCACGUCAAAUUCAGGUGAGACACGCGCUGUGGAAUUUCCAAUACUUCACUAGGUAUAACAUUAUUGACACACCGCACGCGUGAUCGAAGUACACGGUCCGAUGAACUCUGCCAAAAAAUCCCCAACGGCAAGACGAUUUCUGCGAAUGACAUCGGGAGAUAAGUCGCAAACAUUUUUUUGUCAAAAUUGAACGAGCGGAAAAAAGAAAGAAUCCGUUGUCGACGAAACAUCCAAUAUUCUCGUAUCUCCGAAUUACCCUGCGCUCUGAUACCGUACAAGAACUGAAACGAUCGAAAUUCGAUGACACAAAACUGCUGCAAGUCGCGAACGAAAUUAUAUUAGGUGGACUGUGGGGUUCUGACAGAUUCCGAUAGUCCAGUAGGAAUUUUAGCUGCUGGCGGACAUUCAUAAAUCGAUUUACGUCAGUCUACGCGUUCCGUCCGUGUGGUACACAUACGAUACCGCGCGUUUUUCGGUUUCAUGUCAAUUUUUGAGUUUUUUUUUUUCUAUUUGUUUAUUGUUUUUCUCCAAUUUUUCCUAUUUUUCUUUUUACAGCUUUCGGUUUACAAUUUUUCAAAAAAUUUUUUGGCUGGAUAGAAAAAUUGUUUACAGAAACAGAAUGUUGAUGAUUUAUUGUGGACGAAUAUAUAUAUACGUAUAGCGAGAUAGGGAAUAGAAAAAGAAAUGUUUGUUAUGAGAAUUAAAAAUUAGUAGUAUAAUAUUUAUAGCAGCGUGUAGGGGUAUUUAUGUGACUACGCAUCACACAAAUCCUCGACCUCAAAAAUCUGAAGUAGUUUAAAUUUGACGAGCGCGCGUGGUGCGUUCGAAUUGCCUCCCAUCUUGCAGCAGUAUCUCGUGGACCAACUUGGCGUAACACCGAAAAUAACUGAACGAAAAGAAAAGAGAAUAAGAGAAAAGAAAAAUAAACAAAACAACUUCAGAGGCUCGAAACGUCUUGAUGGUUCCACCGAAGACAGAUUUUAGUGUAACUUAGCUAACCAGUGAAAUGGCCUCCGUGUAUUCGAAUCCUUUAGCUGCUACGCCACAUUCGGAUCCGGAGGAAUUAUUCGCGAGCAAGCAUGAGAUGGCACCAAGAAUUCCACCACCGCGUACAAGAGAAACACCCUAACAUUCAUCUCAAGAAAUCAAGUUCGGAGGACAACAAGAACGGAAGCUCAACCAUCGAAUUAAUUCACGAAGGUGCAUUACGGAGAAAAAAAUCUAAAAGCAUCAAGAAACACCUAAACUGAAUACUUUUUCAACUUCAACGAUUAUUGGCAUCAUCGUGAUAAAUUUUCGUUCAGAAUUGAAGAUGUUCUGAAUAUAUUUCGUCAAAAAUA